UCUGAAGCAGAAACAACGGACUCCGAAACAAAAACAGGGGAUCCUCUGCAGAAAACGGUGCGCCUUCUUUCUAUUCAUAGAUCAUUGCUGUUUCUUCUGCUUUGCUUGCUUUCUAUUUCUGCUUUAUUCUGGUGAAGAGAGACAAUGAACCGAUUCUAAAACGUGCAACCAAGGACAAUCUUUAUUAAAAUUCCCCAUCUUACUUGGAAUCUCCAUAUGCUGCGUGCGUGUGUGUGUGUCAACUUCGGUGGUGAGGUUGGGGGAUAUUACAUCCCUCACCAUCUUAUAACAAAAGGGACCUCAACUCACCUUAUUUUUUCCUUUUGCAGAACCAGGAAAACGAAAAGCUUGGGUGCGCGUGUUUCACGGAAAUUUUAAUAUUUGGAAAACAUUUUCUAAAAACUAUGUAUCUCUUUAAAAAAGAAAUGUUUGAAAAAUAUUUUCAUCACCCAUGAAAUUAAUUAUAUAUAAAUUAUUAUCGAUAAUAAAAAUAUUUUCCGUAAACUAAUUUUUUAAACGAUAUAACUAAUUAUUUUUCGAAAAAUAUUUUUUUAAAUUUUAAGUUUUUCGUGAAAUAAGCACCUUUAAAGUACUAGAGUCAUUGCAAUAUUUGUCUGAAAUUUGUAAUUUGAACAAAAUCCCGAACUGAAUUGGGAUUAGGGUUCUUUUUCAAAUUGCUGUCCCCCAAACCUCGGCCGCUCCGCGGCCAAUCCUCGGUCGCUGCUCGCUCAUUCAUGGCAAGCUUCAGUCCGUCGUUCGCCGUCAUCUCUUGUUUCCCAGGUUCCGUCGUCCGCGAGCUUCAAGUCCUUCUUCGCGAGCUUCAAGUUCCAUGUCCGUGACCUUCAAGUCCUUCUUCAGUGCCACUUGCCACUCUCGUGCACAUUUUCAUCUUCACUGCCGCUCGGCUGGAGUAAUUUUGGUGCUACAUGAGAGGCUCCGAUGGCUGCGCUCGUUAACUCCACCAGUGGCGGGAGGGCAUGGGCCUGAACUCAAGCUCUGGAAUCACCAGCUAAUCGCUGAAGAACAGGUUCAUCUUAUUGUGGGCAUAAUCGAUCAAGUUGAGGGGACAAUAUAAGUUUCAUGGAUGCAGCCAAGAGUUUUGGGGAUUCCACAGGUCAAAUUACUGCAUGACCUACUGGACAAUUGGCUGGACAAAUUACACACGGCUUGGGUAUCUGUUGAAGCAGAAACACCGGAUCUUGUCGCUUCAUGAUUACUCCCACGUUCCCAUUCUCCAUUUUGCGACAAUCAUCUGAUUUGAACUGAAAGAAGGGAGAAAAGUGAGACGCUUUGUUGCAAGCUGCUUGGUCAGGCGGUUGUGUUUCUCAAUUUACUUCCCUGGUGCUUCAUUGUUUUAUGCCUAAUUCUUCUCCGGAAUCAGCAAUUCCUUCCUACUUUCUCACGUCUAAGAUGAGUCCUCUCAAAGCUGUGGUGACAUGGUUUUAUCCUUUGGAUUUGGUCAUUGGAACAUGUACUGAUUUCUUUUGCUCAAUCGUGUCCAUUUCGAUCCACCAUCAUGUGGAUCGACGAAUGCUGUGGGAGAUUUUUUUGUAGCUUAUGACUUCCAGAAUGAAUAUAUUUAAAUGAAUGCACACCUUCUUCGUA
Long non-coding RNA from Syzygium oleosum, 1605 nucleotides. RefSeq lists it as uncharacterized. The transcript has 2 exons. The record is from RefSeq and is a predicted model, not a curated record. Lineage: Eukaryota; Viridiplantae; Streptophyta; Magnoliopsida; Myrtales; Myrtaceae.